AGAGUUUGAUCCUGGCUCAGAUUGAACGCUGGCGGCAUGCUUUACACAUGCAAGUCGGACGGCAGCACAGAGAAGCUUGCUUCUUGGGUGGCGAGUGGCGAACGGGUGAGUAACAUAUCGGAACGUACCGAGUAAUGGGGGAUAACUAAUCGAAAGAUUAGCUAAUACCGCAUAUUCUCUGAGGAGGAAAGCAGGGGACCUUCGGGCCUUGCGUUAUUUGAGCGGCCGAUAUCUGAUUAGCUAGUUGGUGGGGUAAAGGCCUACCAAGGCGACGAUCAGUAGCGGGUCUGAGAGGAUGAUCCGCCACACUGGGACUGAGACACGGCCCAGACUCCUACGGGAGGCAGCAGUGGGGAAUUUUGGACAAUGGGCGCAAGCCUGAUCCAGCCAUGCCGCGUGUCUGAAGAAGGCCUUCGGGUUGUAAAGGACUUUUGUCAGGGAAGAAAAGGCUGUUGCUAAUAUCGACAGCUGAUGACGGUACCUGAAGAAUAAGCACCGGCUAACUACGUGCCAGCAGCCGCGGUAAUACGUAGGGUGCGAGCGUUAAUCGGAAUUACUGGGCGUAAAGCGAGCGCAGACGGUUACUUAAGCAGGAUGUGAAAUCCCCGGGCUCAACCUGGGAACUGCGUUCUGAACUGGGUGACUAGAGUGUGUCAGAGGGAGGUAGAAUUCCACGUGUAGCAGUGAAAUGCGUAGAGAUGUGGAGGAAUACCGAUGGCGAAGGCAGCCUCCUGGGAUAACACUGACGUUCAUGCUCGAAAGCGUGGGUAGCAAACAGGAUUAGAUACCCUGGUAGUCCACGCCCUAAACGAUGUCAAUUAGCUGUUGGGCAACUUGAUUGCUUAGUAGCGUAGCUAACGCGUGAAA
Molecule: ribosomal RNA, 867 nt
Filed under: uncultured bacterium
Lineage: Bacteria
Description: bacterial SSU rRNA
Rfam family: Bacterial small subunit ribosomal RNA
Source: RNAcentral